UAAUACGUAGGUGGCAAGCGUUUUCCGGAAUUAUUGGGCGUAAAGCGCGCGCAGGCGGUCUUUUAAGUCUGAUGUGAAAGCCCACGGCUCAACCGUGGAGGGUCAUUGGAAACUGGAAGACUUGAGUGCAGAAGAGGAGAGUGGAAUUCCACGUGUAGCGGUGAAAUGCGUAGAGAUGUGGAGGAACACCAGUGGCGAAGGCGACUCUCUGGUCUGUAACUGACGCUGAGGCGCGAAAGCGUGGGGAGCAAACAGGAUUAGAUACCCUGGUAGUCCACGCCGUAAACGAUGAGUGCUAAGUGUUAGAGGGUUUCCGCCCUUUAGUGCUGCAGCUAACGCAUUAAGCACUCCGCCUGGGGAGUACGACCGCAAGGUUGAA
Molecule: ribosomal RNA, 379 nt
Filed under: uncultured bacterium
Lineage: Bacteria
Description: bacterial SSU rRNA
Rfam family: Bacterial small subunit ribosomal RNA
Source: RNAcentral